AACGAACGCUGGCGGCAUGCCUAACACAUGCAAGUCGAACGAGACCUUCGUGACUGGUGGCGCACGGGUGCGUAACGCGUGGGAACCUGCCCUUAGGUUCGGAAUACCUCCCUGAAAGGGGUGCUAAUACCGGAUAAUGUCUUCGGACCAAAGAUUUAUCGCCUUUGGAUGGGCCCGCGUUGGUUUAGCCAGUUGGUAGGGUAAAAGCCUAUCAAGGCGUCGAUCCAUAGCUGGUCAGAGAGAAAGAGCAGCGACACUGGGGCGGAGACGCGGUCGAGAAUCCUACGGGAGGGGGGAGAGGGGAAUAUAGGACAAUGGGGGAAAGCAUGAACGAGCAAUGCCGCGUGAGUGAUGAAGGCCGUAGGGUAGUAAAGCUCUUUUACCCGGGAUGAUAAUGACGGUACCGGGAGAAUAAGCACCGGCUAACUCCGUG
Molecule: ribosomal RNA, 433 nt
Filed under: uncultured bacterium
Lineage: Bacteria
Description: partial 16S ribosomal RNA
Rfam family: Bacterial small subunit ribosomal RNA
Source: RNAcentral